This 87-nucleotide transfer RNA is filed under the name Acidimicrobiales bacterium. RNAcentral's name for it is "tRNA-Ser". It matches the Rfam family "tRNA". From Rfam's summary of the family: Transfer RNA (tRNA) molecules are approximately 80 nucleotides in length. Their secondary structure includes four short double-helical elements and three loops (D, anti-codon, and T loops). RNAcentral also lists the same sequence under 2 other names. Lineage: Bacteria; Bacillati; Actinomycetota; Acidimicrobiia; Acidimicrobiales. The record is from RNAcentral.
GGAGGAGUGCGAGAGUGGACGAAUCGGACGGUCUCGAAAACCGUUGUGGUCGCAAGGUCACCGUGGGUUCGAAUCCCACCUCCUCCG